This 517-nucleotide ribosomal RNA is filed under the name Scolopendra cataracta. RNAcentral's name for it is "partial large subunit ribosomal RNA". It matches the Rfam family "Bacterial large subunit ribosomal RNA", at positions 1797 to 2609 of the family's 2925-position model. Lineage: Eukaryota; Metazoa; Arthropoda; Chilopoda; Scolopendromorpha; Scolopendridae. The record is from RNAcentral.
CGCCCUGUUUUUUAAAAACAUGGUUCUAUGUUUUAGUAUUUAGGAUCUGACCUGCUCAAUGUAAUAUGAAUAGCCGCGGUAUUUUAACCGUGCGAAGGUAGCAUAAUAAUUAGGCUAUUAAUUGUAGUCUUGAAUGAAGGGUUUGACGAGGAAAAUUCUUUCUUAUUUAUAAUGUUGAAUUUAAAUUUCCAGUAAGAAUGCUGGUACAAUGUAAAAAGACGAGAAGACCCUAUUGAGUUUUAUAUUUAUGUUUAGUUUGUAUUUGAUCUUUUUUUAAUAUAUAAUAUUUGGUUGGGGCGACUAUUUUAAUUGAACAUUUUAUUUUAUAGAGGUUAAUAUUUUGAUCCAUUAAUAAUGAUUAGUAGAAUAAAUUACCAUAGGGAUAACAGCAUAAUUCAAUUGGAAAGUUCAUAUUGAUAGUUGAGUUUGUGACCUCGAUGUUGGAUUAAGAUUCCUUUUAGGUGAAGGUGCUUAAACAGGUAGACUGUUCGUCUAUUAAAUUCUUACAUGAUCUGAG